GGAGAGGUGGCCGAGUGGCCGAAGGCGCUCCCCUGCUAAGGGAGUAGACGGCUUAAAACCGUCUCGAGGGUUCGAAUCCCUUCCUCUCCG
Molecule: transfer RNA, 90 nt
Filed under: Kaistia soli DSM 19436
Lineage: Bacteria; Pseudomonadati; Pseudomonadota; Alphaproteobacteria; Hyphomicrobiales; Kaistiaceae
Also listed under: 2 other names
Rfam family: tRNA
About the family: Transfer RNA (tRNA) molecules are approximately 80 nucleotides in length.
Source: Rfam by way of RNAcentral